Regulatory RNA element from Streptomyces sp. CB01249, 154 nucleotides. It matches the Rfam family "c-di-AMP riboswitch aptamer (ydaO/yuaA leader)". Rfam says of the family: This family represents a conserved RNA structure found upstream of the ydaO and yuaA genes in Bacillus subtilis and related genes in other bacteria. The ydaO/yuaA element is thought to act as a genetic "off" switch for the ydaO and yuaA genes in its native state. The record is from Rfam. Lineage: Bacteria; Bacillati; Actinomycetota; Actinomycetes; Kitasatosporales; Streptomycetaceae.
CGCGCGCGUGCGCCGAAUUCCGCAAGGGAACCGGGGAACCACCUACAUGGGGUGAAUCGGGCAUCUUCGUCUUCACAAGAGGCGGAGGAACCCGUAGGAGACCUUCCUGCUCCGAACCCGUCAGCUAACCCGGUAGGCGAGAAGGAAGGAAAGG